AAUAUAGAAAAGCGAAUGGUCAACCAUCUGAGGGCAGUUUUGACUUUUCAUAACUUAUAAUAGACGUGUCCUUUUAUUGGCUGGCAGCCUGGCACCUCAUCGAACUCUCAAAUUCUUUAUCGUUCUUCUUCAUCUAGAAUUCUCUAGCGUCUCUGUUGGGUCUCACAAUGUUCAGGUAAAAAGGAUUGAAGUGAAAUAAUUCCAGGUACGAUAAGUAGUUGACUCCCUCAAAGAACUCUCAUGUGCUAUAAAAUUGCAGACUAUGAUUUCAUCUUCCCAACUGUGAACUUUAAUUUGAUUAAACUAAAAAUUACCUUAAUUACUAAGAUAAGUUUUAAUACUGGAGCAUUGGACAUGGUAUAUUUCCCUCGGUAUUAAUUACAGGAAAUAUGAAACUAGGCUCUCUAAAUUAAAGAAACCAUAUCUUAUUUUUGGAACUGCAAUCUGUUAAUAAUUUUCUUUCAGUACUUUAGAUGUCAAGAACGUUAUCUAGCCUCUUUCUCCUAAAGUUAUGAAAUUUCCUAAUGUUAAUUUUCCAAAUUAGGUGCCUAGUUAUGAAAUUUCCUAAUGUUAAUUUUCCAAAUUAGGUGCCUAGAAUCUGUCUUGGUUUCAAUUGAAGAGGACAUGACUUAUUCUACUUGAAAGGAUAUCAAUUCUCUCCCUUCUUUUUUUUUUUUAGAUAUUUCCAACUGCUCAUAUUAUGAUUUAGCCUUAGUUGAGAAGGAAAUAAUUGGAAGAAAUGGUACAAUCUUUUUGAUGCAGAAUCGAAUUUUACAUGCACACAUCUUGAUCUAGUCCUCACUGUGGUUAUUUUUUGUAUUGCUUACAGUUUCUAAGAUAACAAUAGUGUUGGGGAUGCAUUAACCUAUCAUGUUUAUCAGAUUUCCCAUAAGACACUUAAAAAAGAAGUAGGAUAUACUCUUUGUGCAGAGAAUGCAACUGACACAAACUUAUUUUUGUCAUUUAUAUGGACAUGUCAACUCUUGCUUCUCUUGCCCAAAGUUGAUGCACGAUGGGUUUCCGCUAAUAUAAUAGCUCUUGUCAUUUAGUGAAUGACCAGACCUCAACAAUAUGUAGCAAAGAAACAAAAUUGCUUCUCAUUUCUCAUAUUUGAUGAUUAGUUGUCUAGAUUGCUGCUUUUAUGUGCUACAUAUAGGACCACUACAUUUGCUUUUAAUAAUUGCAAGGACUGGAUCAACUCAUGCACUUUCCAGGAAUAAAACCAAUGGAACAGUUUUAACCAACAGCAAGUUCAGGACCACAAGUUGCAAUUUCAGAAGUACCAAACAGCAACACAGAUACACCAGAAACCCAGGAAUAAAACCAGAAACACCACCAGCAAUCACAUGCAAAAACAGAAUGUAUUCAGGAAUGCGAUAGAACAGUAGAUUUUCUGGUUUUCAAACACUCAAAGAAAAGAAGCUUGAAGCUUUAAUGACAUAGUAGCAAACUGGCACUGAUUUUUAAUAGUGGAAGAAAGACUUCACUUUUCUGUUUUGUUUUA
Molecule: long non-coding RNA, 1504 nt
Organism: Nicotiana tabacum (common tobacco)
Lineage: Eukaryota; Viridiplantae; Streptophyta; Magnoliopsida; Solanales; Solanaceae
Source: RefSeq, a predicted model, not a curated record